CUCGCGGAAGAUGGCUGCGGAGUCAGGCUCCGGCCAGCGCGGCGGCUGCGGCGACGUCAGCGGGGCCGCGCCCGAGUGACACGCGGACCACCUGCAAUCGCGCCCGCGGGGACGCGCGCGGCCAGGGUGGGAGGGCCUGGGCCGAGGGACCGUAGUCGGACCUGGUGCCCGGAAGUCCCGGCUAGCGCGCCCCGAGUCCUCCGGGAUGCCCAUGGCGUCUGAGAUGCUCCGGAGCCGUGGCUCUGCAGAACUGGGCCUGCCUGGGGAGAGGGACAGUCGCUGGACCCGGUGCUCAGAAGCCCAACCUAACGCGUCCGGACCUCGGGGAUGCCAAGCGCGCCUGAGAUGCCCAGAGCUGUGGCUCUGCGGAGCCAGUCCGCACUGACCCUUUCUGAAGUCCGAUGUCCACUCUUCUCUUCCCCACCGAGAACUGCCUGCUGUGGUUUACUUGGUCACAAAACUUCAUGGAGGUUCUGAUGCUACCUUCUCGCACGUGGGACAACACCUGGCUGGGCUCCCCUGCCUAAAACUGUUGAUAUCUGCUGUGCUGUUGAAGACCCCAGUCUGCUCAGAGGGAGGAGGAGGCUCGGUCUCUGCCCUUAGGCCUUCCCGUUCAAGAGGGUCUCUUUCCUCUGAAUGCUGACAGGACACAGGAGAGACUUACUCAUUCAGUCAGUAAAUUUGAGAAACGACUUGUGGGCCAGGCUCAGUGCUAAUUUUAUUUACCCUUAGUGGACUCAGAGUGAAUGAAACAUUCACACCUUCCUGGAACCCACAAUCUAAGCUCUCCACCAGGUCAUUUCUAUUUUCAACACAGAACUUUAAACAUUAUUUCGGAAACCUUUCUGCCCAAGUAUCCAUUUCAUUAUUAUUUAUGAAUCGAACACAAUUUAAACAAAUUUAUUUUUAUCACUAGGGGAACAAAAGCAAAGCACCGAGUGCUAUCUCUAAGUCCUUUCUGUCUCAGUCUGCUUAUUCUAGCACUGGGGAAGCGCAAGAGAACUCCAGAAGCACAGACAAAUGGGAAAGGCACAGUUUGGCCAUCAGGAGGUUUUGGUAUAAAUCUGAGCUCUGCCAUUUCUAACGCCAUCUAUGUGGUGGGCUGUAUUCCUGGGUCUCCCCUCACCCCAGGCUCAUGAGCCCCUGUCCUGGCAGCAAGCUCUCCUGUUAAAGUCACUGGGCUCUGGGCAUUUGAGGCUUUGUCUUUGAUUUGUAAUCUGCUCUGCAGUUACCCAGGACCCAACAAUGAGGCAUCUGUUACAAAUCUAAUAUUAGCAACAAACACAAGUUACAUCAUCUUGUAUAAAGAGAAUAUUGAGGGAGAAACAUUUGGUCACUUUCAGAGAUGUGGCAGCACUGAACAAGAAGCUCUGUCAAGCGCUGGUGCCCUCUGUUCUGCAGGGGAGGGGGUGCCAUAGUGGAGGGAGGAAAGGAAGAAAAGAAGACUAGAGAGUAUAAUCUUCUUUUCUUUCCUUCUGUUCUUCUCUUCCAACAGAAUAUAGCAUAACUCUGCAUGAGUUCUACAGUGUCGGGCCCUUACCAAACUAACAAGCCUGGAACAAUUCACCUUAAUUAAAAACUUUUGGCUACGUGACUCAGAAGAUUCCAGCAACUGGGUCCUGUGCCCAGUGGUCAGGAGCAGAAGAUUCAAGGAGAAAGGCCUUGUUUCAAGGAAACACGAACUUCUACUGCAGAAAAGCCAAGCCCCAUCAGCACAGUGACUUGGCGAGACACAGGUCAACUAACGCAGCCUGGAUGCUGUCCACUGCAACAAAAGGAAGCAGAAACGUGGGAGGAGACAGCUGGUCAUGUGUCCUGGUGGCUGGAACGAAGACUGAGGAAUGGAGGGGGCAGGGACGGAAAACCAUGUGCUUCCGUGUCCUUCUGUACUUCUACUUUCCUUUAGCCUGAAAAGAAGCUAAACAAACCAGAACUCUUGUUGGCACUUGCUGAAGAAAUGGAACCUACCGCCUAACUCCUCACGGACCACAUGCCGGGUGAGUGAACUCAGCUCGUGUUACCUAGGGAGCUUUUUAAGUUUUUGUAAUCCAGCCAAUUGAAACAAAUUUUUGAGGGGGGAGUGUUUAGACAGUGUGUUUCAAAUAUGAUUCCAAUGGAAACCACAGUUGAGAACCAGACAUACAGAUACCUCUAGCAUUUGCUGCAGCAAUGCUUCCCAAACUUAAUACUUGCCCAUGACUCACCCAAAGAUCCUCCAGGUGAGGCCCUGGUGAGGAUCCUCCCCAUACCGUGCACAGAAGGAGCCAGAGCCCUUGGCUUUGCUAUUUUCUUCUCACGUUCUUUAGUAGAAAAGACAACAGAGGUGACACCUCUGAGUCCUAAGUAACAGGAAUAGUUAAAGUAAUAAUAUUACUAUUGAAAUAUUAAACAUAAUUAAC
Non-coding RNA from Castor canadensis (American beaver), 2399 nucleotides. Lineage: Eukaryota; Metazoa; Chordata; Mammalia; Rodentia; Castoridae. The record is from RefSeq and is a predicted model, not a curated record.